CUUUUAACGGCCGCGGUAUCCUAACCGUGCAAAGGUAGCAUAAUCACUUGUCCUCUAAAUAAGGACUGGAAUGAACGGCUAAAUGAAGACUAAGCUGUCUCUUGCAAAUACCUAUAAAACUGAUCUCCUAGUCAAAAAGCUGGGAUUUUAACACAAGACGAGAAGACCCUGUGGAGCUUAUAAACCAAGCUCAUAAAAUGACCCCUUGGUUUUUAGUUGGGGCGACUUCGGAGAACAAAAAACCCUCCGACUAAUUAACCAGAUAAACAUAUCAAACAUUUAUUCCGACCCAGUAGCUCAAUGCUAGCUGACUAAUGAACCAAGUUACCCCAGGGAUAACAGCGCUAUCCUCUUUUAGAGUCCCUAUCGACAGGAGGGCUUACGACCUCGAUGUUGGAUCAGGACACCCCAAUAGUGCAGCCGCUAUUAAAGGUUCGUUUGUUCAACGAUUAAAGUCCUACGUGA
RNAcentral lists this ribosomal RNA (465 nucleotides) under Acanthodactylus erythrurus. RNAcentral describes it as "partial 16S ribosomal RNA". It matches the Rfam family "Bacterial large subunit ribosomal RNA", at positions 1921 to 2603 of the family's 2925-position model. The record is from RNAcentral. Lineage: Eukaryota; Metazoa; Chordata; Lepidosauria; Squamata; Lacertidae.